GAUGAACGCUGGCGGCGUGCCUAAUACAUGCAAGUCGAGCGAACAGAUAAGGAGCUUGCUCCUUUGACGUUAGCGGCGGACGGGUGAGUAACACGUGGAUAACCUACCUAUAAGACUGGGAUAACUUCGGGAAACCGGAGCUAAUACCGGAUAACAUAUUGAACCGCAUGGUUCAAUAGUGAAAGGCGGCUUUGCUGUCACUUAUAGAUGGAUCCGCGCCGUAUUAGCUAGUUGGUAAGGUAACGGCUUACCAAGGCAACGAUACGUAGCCGACCUGAGAGGGUGAUCGGCCACACUGGAACUGAGACACGGUCCAGACUCCUACGGGAGGCAGCAGUAGGGAAUCUGCCGCAAUGGGCGAAAGCCUGACGGAGCAACGCCGCGUGAGUGAUGAAGGUCUUCGGAUCGUAAAACUCUGUUAUCAGGGAAGAACAAUGUGUAAGUAACUGUGCACAUCUUGACGGUACCUGAUCAGAAAGCCACGGCUAACUACGUG
This 496-nucleotide ribosomal RNA is filed under the name uncultured bacterium. Its description in RNAcentral is "partial 16S ribosomal RNA". It matches the Rfam family "Bacterial small subunit ribosomal RNA", at positions 28 to 507 of the family's 1533-position model. The record is from RNAcentral.